RNAcentral lists this ribosomal RNA (511 nucleotides) under Trypanosoma theileri. RNAcentral describes it as "SSU rRNA". The stretch from base 128 to 511 matches the Rfam family "Eukaryotic small subunit ribosomal RNA", at positions 738 to 974 of the family's 1831-position model. Lineage: Eukaryota; Euglenozoa; Kinetoplastea; Trypanosomatida; Trypanosomatidae. The record is from RNAcentral.
UGAGGCGCAAUGGUUUGUCCCGUCCACCUCGGAUUGGUGACCCAUGCCCUUGAGGUCCGUGAACACUCAGAAACAAGAAACACGGGAGCGGUUCCUUCCUGAUUUUCGCAUGUCAUGCAUGCCAGGGGGCGUCCGUGAUUUUUACUGUGACUAAAAAAGUGUGACCAAAGCAGUCAUUCGACUUGAAUUACAAAGCAUGGGAUAACAAAGGAGCAGCCUAUGGGCCACCGUUUCGGCUUUUGUUGGUUUUAAAAGUCCAUUGGAGAUUAUGGCGUCGUGCGACAAGCGUCUGGGUGUUUUCCCAUCUUUGGGGCACCCGUCGCCUUUGCGGGAAAUCCGUGUCGGUGUUGAUGAGCUUCGGCCCAUCUCUCCGGCGCCUUCCCGUGACUCACGGCAUCCAGGAAUGAAGGAGGGUAGUUCGGGGGAGAACGUACUGGCGCGUCAGAGGUGAAAUUCUUAGACCGCGCCAAGACGAACUACAGAGAAGGCAUUCUUCAAGGAUACCUUCCUC